UACGAAGGGGGCUAGCGUUGUUCGGAAUUACUGGGCGUAAAGCGUGCGCAGGCGGUUUCUCAAGUCAGGGGUGAAAGCCCGGAGCUCAACUCCGGAAUUGCCUUUGAAACUGUGAAGCUAGAGUGCGGGAGAGGUGAGUGGAAUUCCCAGUGUAGAGGUGAAAUUCGUAGAUAUUGGGAAGAACACCGGUGGCGAAGGCGGCUCACUGGCUCGUAACUGACGCUCAUGCACGACAGCGUGGGGAUCAAACAGG
Molecule: ribosomal RNA, 253 nt
Filed under: uncultured bacterium
Lineage: Bacteria
Description: partial 16S ribosomal RNA
Rfam family: Bacterial small subunit ribosomal RNA
Source: RNAcentral